UACGGGGGGAGCAAGCGUUGUUCGGAUUUACUGGGCGUAAAGGGCGCGUAGGCGGUAGCACAAGUCAGUUGUGAAAUCUCCGGGCUUAACUCGGAAAGGUCAACUGAUACUGUGCGACUAGAGUGCAGAAGGGGCAACUGGAAUUCUCGGUGUAGCGGUGAAAUGCGUAGAUAUCGAGAGGAACACCUGCGGCGAAGGCGGGUUGCUGGGCUGACACUGACGCUGAGGCGCGAAAGCCAGGGGAGCAAACGGG
RNAcentral lists this ribosomal RNA (253 nucleotides) under uncultured bacterium. RNAcentral describes it as "partial 16S ribosomal RNA". It matches the Rfam family "Bacterial small subunit ribosomal RNA", at positions 524 to 776 of the family's 1533-position model. The record is from RNAcentral.